UUCCAGUUGGACAUCUUCAACCCUGGAAGAGUUCUGCUGUGAAGGUACCGCUGCGAUGCACACGAGUGUUCACAGAGACAGCCCAGCUCUUCCUGCGAAUGGAGCGCGGCCAGUGCUUCUGGGCGGACUAAUGAUUGUGUUAUCUGUUGAAGACCAGCUCUUGCAACAGGACAGGUUUGGGCCAGGCAGCUGCCUUUGACCAGCAGUUUUGGAUGCAGAGAGGCCAAAUUAAACCCCCCAGGUUGGAGGCAGAUACUCAGGAGAAGGGACAGGACCAGAGGAUGGGCUGCUCGUUCCUUCUUCUUCCCAGGGCCAAGGGGGAGAUGUUUGUUCUGUACUGGUUGGGAAGUCCUGGGGCUGGCAGAAGAGCUGCUCUCCCUUGGGAAGGGACAUCAAGGAGACAUGAUGGCCAAGUGUGUGUGUGUCUACUGCUCCAUCAACAGGGCCAAAUGAUUCAGUCCACGUUUGGGAGAUUUUCAUUACUGGAAAGGGACCUUUCCUCCUGAACUGAGAUUGUGAGUCUAACUCGAAGCAAGAAAAGAGAAGCAAAGCCCACACCUCUGUAUGAACCCCCUCAGGGGUGAUGGUGUUUCCUCAUCCGACUGCUUUUCCAGAGUUCACAGACUCCACACACGCCUGUUGUUCCUGCAGCAACGCUCAAUCCUCAUCCCCCCCAGCACAUCAGUAUUCAAAUUUGUCACCUUACGAAGAGCUGGUUCUGCUGAGACCCUCUGGACCCCGGCCAGCGGUGGGACGUGGAGGGACUCGAGCUGGGACCUCUGAGCACCACCAUCUCCUUGCCCUUGACCCGGCUUGUUUCCACGCCAGACACAACUCGCUCAGCCCUACGUUUCCUCCAGGGAUGCACAAAGAGUGCAAGGGGUUUGAAAGUGCUGUUGUGUGGGUGAGAGAUCCAGUACUCGUGAAAGGUGACGUACACACCUGUGCCAGAGCUACCUUUGGGAAUCCCUGGCAGCGAGCUGUGUGGCCCCCGUUUGAGCUGAGAAUUUGCCUGCAGCCCUCGGCGUUUCCACUGGCCUGAUCCCCGCGGGGCCGGAGCCAGCAGCUUUGUCUCCGGCCAGAACCCGCCGUCCCCCGGUGCAGUGAUGUGGUGACUGCCCAGGUACAUGGCCAAAGAGAAGAAGACAUGAGCCCCACGGCUACUGUGGGUCUGGCAGACGCAGGAUCAGGCCACACUGGUUCCUGGAGGCUGGAGCUGGGGUGCUCAGGACACG
Calidris pugnax (ruff) is the source of this 1235-nucleotide long non-coding RNA. RefSeq lists it as uncharacterized. Lineage: Eukaryota; Metazoa; Chordata; Aves; Charadriiformes; Scolopacidae. The transcript is spliced from 9 exons. The record is from RefSeq and is a predicted model, not a curated record.